GACGAACGCUGGCGGCGUGCUUAACACAUGCAAGUCGAACGGGCUGCCUGGUUUUCGGAUCGGGUGGUGAGUGGCGAACGGGUGAGUAACACGUGAGUAACCUGCCCCUCUCUUUGGGAUAACGUCGGGAAAUUGGCGCUAAUACCGGGUAUUAUGGCUUGCUCGCAUGGGGUUGUUGGGAAAGGUUUUUUGUGGUGGGGGAUGGGCUCGCGGCCCAUCAGCUUGUUGGUGGGGUGAUGGCCUACCAAGGCGGUGACGGGUAGCCGGCCUGAGAGGGUGAGCGGCGACAUUGGGACUGAGAUAGGGCCCAGACUCCUACGGGAGGGAGCAGUGGGGAAUAUUGCACAAUGGGCGGAAGCCUGAUGCAGCAACGCCGCGUGCGGGAUGACGGCCUUCGGGUUGUAAACCGCUUUCGCCGGUGACGAAGCGUGAGUGACGGUAAUGGGUAAAGAAGCACCGGCUAACUACGUG
Molecule: ribosomal RNA, 471 nt
Filed under: uncultured bacterium
Lineage: Bacteria
Description: partial 16S ribosomal RNA
Rfam family: Bacterial small subunit ribosomal RNA
Source: RNAcentral